Molecule: ribosomal RNA, 468 nt
Filed under: uncultured bacterium
Lineage: Bacteria
Description: partial 16S ribosomal RNA
Rfam family: Bacterial small subunit ribosomal RNA
Source: RNAcentral
GACGAACGCUGGCGGCGUGCUUAACACAUGCAAGUCGAACGGAAAGGCCCUGCUUUUGUGGGGUGCUCGAGUGGCGAACGGGUGAGUAACACGUGAGUAACCAGCCCUUGACUUUGGGAUAACUUCAGGAAACUGGGGCUAAUACCGGAUAGGAGCUCCUGCUGCAUGGUGGGGGUUGGAAAGUUUCGGCGGUUGGGGAUGGACUCGCGGCUUAUCAGCUUGUUGGUGGGGUAGUGGCUUACCAAGGCUUUGACGGGUAGCCGGCCUGAGAGGGUGACCGGCCACAUUGGGACUGAGAUACGGCCCAGACUCCUACGGGAGGCAGCAGUGGGGAAUAUUGCACAAUGGGCGGAAGCCUGAUGCAGCAACGCCGCGUGCGGGAUGACGGCCUUCGGGUUGUAAACCGCUUUCGCCUGUGACGAAGCGUGAGUGACGGUAAUGUGUAAAGAAGCACCGGCUAACUACGUG